GACGUUUCGCUCUUUGAACGAAUGUACGUCCAGCCAUGACAAAAUGUCAAAAUAGAUGGUGUCAUAUUGGCAGAAAAUAUAAUAAUUUUGGUAACCUUUUUUGUUGUUGUUUAUAAUGGAUUCGGGAUGUCUGUCGUUACCGACGGGAUAACACCAAUGCUACGACAAUAUACUACUACGACAUUGUAUAACUCCGAAAAAAAAUUUCACUGCCAACCAUAACACUACUCCGAUAUCAAUUACUUCGAACAUAAACUAUACCGAUAUUAUAUUAUAUUACUCCGACGUAUUUGUAUCAAGUGAUUUGCAUUUUGUCAUGGGGAUAACCACAUGUCUACAUGAUAAUUAAUAAGUGAAAACCAUUUUAAUAUAAUAUAAUUUAUAAGUUAUAUAUUUAAAAUAAGAUAUAACAGUAUAACAUUAUAUAGAUUUUAUUAAAGCAUAUUAAACCACACUCCAUGAUGUAAAGGAAAUCUUUUCAGAGUUCAGAACUUCAGAAUUUGUAAAUGAAAAACAGAAGCACACUACACGGUAUCACAGCUAGUACCAUCUACCAUAUCGCCACAGACCUCACAUGUGGCAGGAGGUGUUGAUAUGCAGCUCGCACAAUACCAUCCAUGGCCACAGUCCAACAAUAUGUAUGGCGCCUGGUCUGGUACAUAUUGUACAUGGCGCAUACAUCCAAGGCACUAGCUUCCAGUUAGAUCGAGCAAUGAGAUAUUUUGCAUCCAUUUACCUUUUAAUAAAAAUUGUUAACAUGCAUUAUACAGAUGGGCUGUGUUGUUGGAAAUUCUACUUUGUAAACUCCGCAUUUGUCUAGUCGAAUUGCACACUCAUCACAGCACCAUCCCUGACCGCAAGGCACCAAAAUAUUGGCCGAAUUCACUUGGCUCCAACUUUCAAGGCAAAUGAAACAUCUGUCUACAGGGUCACCUUUAGAAUAAAAAAUCUCUUACGACAUUGUCCAAAACAGCGUGGAUUGUGAUAAACUGCUCGGCAUCAGCAGGAACUCGCGGAAUGACACCAAAUGUGCCAUCAAUUGCCAAGACUCUUGCUUCACAUAGGUACGGAGCAAUGCGUCGUAUAAAUGCCAAAUUUAAAAAAAAUCAAUUCUUCGUUGAUUAUGAACUCCAAGUUUCCAUGAAAAAAUGGUGCAUUAUUGUCUACUGAAUAAAGUAGACGACUUUGCCAUGUUGGUGACACAAUAAUCUCGCCCGUGGCCCUGAGAUUAUCUGGUAUUGGUGGAUUCACACCUCGUCUCACAUAGCGUAUUGCCCGUAGUGCUUGCUCACGGGAAACCUCUAUAGCUGCAUUUGGAGACCUAAAAAAUUGUUAUUCAGAAUUGUCCGUGCAGGUGUCCCCUCUGUUAAAGCACGCCGUCUCAUUGCAUCGUAGAAUGCCCUAAUCUCGAUGUCAUGCCCUACGUGAUGAUUAUGUGGUUGAUAUACUACAAUCGGACUAUUUUCUGGGAAUAUCGACAUUGAUGCAGUAGCAGUACAUCCCCGUUUGUAACGCAAACAUCGAAGCUGUCUAUAAGAUUGAUGAUUUUGCACAUAUGUGUAUCCAACAUCAUCAGCAUAGUUCAAGUGACCUCUGAGCCCUGGAACUCUCCUCGAUGGAGCUCCUUCAUUGCCAAGAAGAAUAUCAACCAUGGUAUGGGGUGACCGAGAUCUCGACCUGAAUCUUUCACCAUGUUCAUCUGAGGAUUUGUGUACAUUGAUUUGAUACAUUUUUAUAUUAAAAAUUACUAAGCAAAUACUAGUUUAAAAUUUGUUAUAAAUCUACAAAUAAUUUUAUUUUUUGUCACUAAAAUGUUGUUGAAUUGUAAUUGAGAAAGUUAACAUAUUUAUUUUUACGUAUAUUAUAUAAAUUUAAAUAUAGAAAUAUAUUCAUCAAU
This is a long non-coding RNA of Acyrthosiphon pisum (pea aphid), 1897 nucleotides long. RefSeq lists it as uncharacterized. The record is from RefSeq and is a predicted model, not a curated record. The transcript has 6 exons. Lineage: Eukaryota; Metazoa; Arthropoda; Insecta; Hemiptera; Aphididae.